RNAcentral lists this ribosomal RNA (831 nucleotides) under uncultured Methanosarcinales archaeon. RNAcentral's name for it is "bacterial SSU rRNA". It matches the Rfam family "Archaeal small subunit ribosomal RNA", at positions 58 to 890 of the family's 1478-position model. Lineage: Archaea; Methanobacteriati; Methanobacteriota; Methanomicrobia; Methanosarcinales. The record is from RNAcentral.
UUAUGUGUUUUUUGUAAACACGGCGAACUGCUCAGUAACACGCGGAUAAUCUGCCCUCAGGUUUGGGAUAACCCCGGGAAACUGGGGAUAAUACCAAAUGUUUCAAGGUUGCUGGAAUGCUCUUUGAUUGAAAGCUUCGGUGCCUGAGGAUGAGUCUGCGGCCUAUCAGGUUGUAGUGGGUGUAAUGUACCUACUAGCCAGCGACGGGUACGGGUUGUGAGAGCAAGAGCCCGGAGAUGGAUUCUGAGACAUGAAUCCAGGCCCUACGGGGUGCAGCAGGCGCGAAACCUUUACAAUGCGCGAAAGCGCGAUAAGGAGACCCUGAGUGCUAGCACAUAGUGCUGGCUGUCCAGCUGUUUAAAAAGCAGUUGUUAGCAAGGGCCGGGCAAGACCGGUGCCAGCCGCCGCGGUAACACCGGCGGCCCGAGUGGUAACCGAUUUUAUUGGGCUUAAAGCGUUCGUAGCCGGUUUAGUAAGUUUCUUAGGAAAUCUAGCAGCUUAACUGUUAGACGUCUAAGAGAUACUGCUAUGACUUGGGACCGGGAGAGGUAGGAGGUACUCCAAGGGUAGGGGUGAAAUCUUGUAAUCCCUGGGGGACCAUCGAUGGCGAAGGCAUCCUACCAGAACGGGUUCGACGGUGAGGGACGAAAGCUGGGGGCACAAACCGGAUUAGAUACCCGGGUAGUCCCAGCUGUAAACGAUGCUCGCUAGGUGUCAGAUACGGUGCGUCCGUAUUUGGUGCCGUAGGGAAACCGUGAAGCGAGCCGCCUGGGAAGUACGGUCGCAAGGCUGAAACUUAAAGGAAUUGGCGGGGGAGCACUACAACGGUGA